RNAcentral lists this ribosomal RNA (1457 nucleotides) under Mycoplasmopsis columbina. RNAcentral describes it as "16S ribosomal RNA". It matches the Rfam family "Bacterial small subunit ribosomal RNA". Lineage: Bacteria; Bacillati; Mycoplasmatota; Mycoplasmoidales; Metamycoplasmataceae. The record is from RNAcentral.
CUGGCUGUGUGCCUAAUACAUGCAUGUCGAGCGAAGUUCUUCGGAACUUAGCGGCGAAUGGGUGAGUAACACGUACUCAACGUACCCUUUAGAUUGGGAUAGCGGUUGGAAACAGCCGAUAAUACCAAAUAUGCACAUUUUUCGCAUGAAARGUGUGUGAAAGGAGCAAUUGUUCCGCUAAAGGAGCGGGGUGCGCAACAUUAGCUAGUUGGUGAGGUAACGGCCCACCAAGGCGAUGAUGUUUAGCGGGGUUGAGAGACUGAACCGCCACACUGGGACUGAGAUACGGCCCAGACUCCUACGGGAGGCAGCAGUAGGGAAUAUUCCACAAUGGACGAAAGUCUGAUGGAGCGACACAGCGUGCAGGAUGAAGGCCCCAUGGGUUGUAAACUGCUGUGGUAAGGGAAGAAAAAGCAGAAGAGUGGAACGCUUUUGCCUUGACGGUACCUUAUUAGAAAGCGACGGCUAACUAUGUGCCAGCAGCCGCGGUAAUACAUAGGUCGCAAGCGUUAUCCGGAAUUAUUGGGCGUAAAGCGUCUGUAGGUUGUUUGUUAAGUCUGACGUCAAAUUUUGGGGCUCAACCCCAAACCGCGUUGGAUACUGGCAUACUAGAGUUAUGUAGAGGUUAGCGGAAUUCCUUGUGAAGCGGUGGAAUGCGUAGAUAUAAGGAAGAACACCAAUAUGGCGAAGGCAGCUAACUGGACAUAUACUGACACUGAGAGACGAAAGCGUGGGGAGCAAACAGGAUUAGAUACCCUGGUAGUCCACGCCCUAAACGAUGAUCAUUAGCUGAUGGAAAAUUCAUCGGCGCAGCUAACGCAUUAAAUGAUCCGCCUGAGUAGUACGUUCGCAAGAAUAAAACUUAAAGGAAUUGACGGGGAUCCGCACAAGCGGUGGAGCAUGUGGUUUAAUUUGAAGAUACGCGUAGAACCUUACCCACUCUUGACAUCUUCUGCAAAGCUAUAGAGAUAUAGUGGAGGUUAACAGAAUGACAGAUGGUGCAUGGUUGUCGUCAGCUCGUGUCGUGAGAUGUACGGUUAAGUCCUGCAACGAGCGCAACCCUUGUCCUUAGUUACUAACAUUAAGUUGAGCACUCUAAGGAGACUGCCCGAGUAAUUGGGAGGAAGGUGGGGACGACGUCAAAUCAUCAUGCCUCUUACGAGUGGGGCAACACACGUGCUACAAUGGUCGGUACAAAGAGAAGCAAACUGGUGACAGGGAGCAAACCUCAAAAAACCGAUCUCAGUUCGGAUUGUAGUCUGCAACUCGACUACAUGAAGUCGGAAUCGCUAGUAAUCGUAGAUCAGCUACGCUACGGUGAAUACGUUCUCGGGUCUUGUACACACCGCCCGUCAAACCAUGGGAGCUGGUAAUGCCCGAAGUCGGUUUAUAAACAAACUGCCUAAGGCAGGACUGGUGACUGGGGUUAAGUCGUAACAAGGUAUCCCUACGAGAAC